UUCUGAUUGAGCCGGAGUUCGAAUCCAGGACCCGAAAUAAGGCAAUCGUGCAAAUUGCCCUUACAAAAUUAGUUACCAAUUUUUUAUUUUUUAUUUUUUAAAAUAAGGUCCCAGGGGCUGUUUUAUUAUUAUUAAAAGUAAAUGUCUUGCAAUGCACAAAAUGAAAUCCUAAUAGUAAAGUAGUUCAGGAAAAGAAGAACAAAAGUGAAAUCCCUAAUUGGAAACUAAUUUGAUGUCUUUCCCGUUGGCUUCCCUGGUCGAUCUUUAUAUUGUGGUCUUGUGGUUGAAACUUGUGCGAGUGCUGCUGAUUCGUCUGUUGUUUCUUGAAGAUGUUGUUCUCCAUUCACUUGGAUGCUGGUAUGGCUUACCAUUUGUGUCACCAAUCAAUCUGUUGGUGUCUACAAUCAAUGGGACUGGAGCUGUAAUUGAGAGCAUUUAUGUGCUUUGCAUUUGCACCAAAGAAAGAGAAGAAGUAAAUCUCAGCACUUCUUCUAUUAGUCCUUACUGUUUUCGAUGCAGUAGCCCUUGUUUCCCUGCUCGCUUUACAUGGGAAUAACAGGAAGCUCUUCUGCGGUAUCGCUGCCGCUAUCUUCUCCAUCAUUAUGUAUGGAUCUCCUCUAUCUAUCAUACUAAGUUUCUUACUCUUUCUCCAGCAGUUAUUUAUUUUAUAGUUUUAGUUUUCUUGUCUACACAUCACAAUUUCUGUAAACUUGACAGAAAGGUACGAACUUUAGAUGUUCAGCUGUUUAAGGGUUCCUGUUAGAACGUUACUUAAAAAAAAUAAGCACUUGAACACCAUUAAUUAAAGUUCUUUUUUACCAUUCUCUUGUAAUUUCUGUUAAGUUGAUAGAUAGAUAGGUCCAAACUUUGGAUGUGCAAGAGGUGGUUGGGGGUUAGGAGAAUGUGUUAUUAGAUGUUCAGUUCUAGAUAAGGUGCUCCUGUGUAAUAAGAAAAUGUCCAGAACAUGGAAAAAGAUACGCGCUUUACACCAUUUGUUCUCUUUCCUACACUCAUAUUUGUUCUUAUGCUGAUGGACAAGUUCCAAUUUUGGAUGGAAGUUUGGAUGAUUUUGCUGUUAGAUGUUCAAUUUUCUUAAAAGGGAGCCCUACUUUCGUUACAAAUGGCGAUAGCUCUAAAAAGAUUAAGACACUUCACUUAGGUGUCGUUUUGUUGGGUUUGAAGGGACUUAAUCCCUACGUUAAGUUCCAAAGUAUAGUGUUAUAUCAUGUUUGGUUACUUUUAUUUUUCUCAUAAAUAAAAUUUGCAUAAGCUAUAUGCGAAAAUUUAUAUUUUAUCUUAUACGGGAUAAACAACAACAUACCCAGUGGAAUCCCACAAGUGGGGUCUGGGGAGGGUAGAGUGUACGCUGACCUUACCCUGACCUUACAUAUAAAGAGGCUUAUAUGGAUAAAAUGUUAAAUAAAGAUGAGGGUAUUAAUAAUACAUGCAUUAAAAAUAUUUGCAUAAGCUGAGGUAUAAAAGUGGAUUCCAAGUGUGUUGUGCAAAAUUGAGGAUGAAACUCGAGAUCAUUUGUUUGUUACUUUCCCCUUUGUGGUCAAGGUGGGGUCUGGCUUAUGCAUGGCUACAAAUUCAACAGCCUACAGGGCAGAACUGGACACAAAAUCUGCACUGGUUGCUACACUGAACCAAGGUCAAAAGCCAAGCAGCUAAAGUGGUGAAACUAGUGUAUGCAGAAUUUGUCCAUGCACUGUGGAAGGAGAGAAAUACUAGAGUCUUUGAGCACAAGAGGUUACAGAGGAUGUAAUUGCCAGAAGAAUAGUAUGUCUUUGUAGCGCUCGAGCUCUUGAUGCCAGUAGGACUUUCUCGGAGAAAUGCAUAUUCUAAUUCUAUAGGAGAAAUGCAUAUUCUAAAGCGAAGCCAGAUAGCUUUCUUGAUCAAGCUGGAUGAGUUAUCUGGCUUCGCUUUGUGAAUAUUACUUUGGUGAUUAAUAAAAUGCUUAAUUACCAAAAAAAGAGAAAAAUAAUGUUGAAAUUUUAUAUGAUGAAAGAUAAAUGCAUGGAUUUUUACGCAGUGAAUAAUAAACACUGAUUGUUACAUAUAGAUAUAUUUGUCUAAUUUAAGAGCUUAUUUGUCUUUAAAUUCUCUUAUAAAUGUAUUGCUAUACACGUAUUCUUAUCUUACAUUCUAUCGUAUCUGAAAUAUUUCUCCCGUGCAAAAUAAUGCAUACUAUAAAAGAAAAAGGAAUUACUCUCUAACAAAUUAUGUCGUUAAAUAGCAAAAUUCUGUUGGUAUCCUAUUAUUCAGAUUGGCGAAAAAUUGUAGUUAAUUUCUUUUUGUAGUAAUUAGUUGCAUGUAUAACAUAUAUUAAUGUUAAAUUAUGUUGAUUCUCGUAUAAGUUAUACCAGAAUUAGUAUAUACCAUUUGGUUUACGGUAGUAGACUCGGAAUAGUGUAAUUCUGAUUUAAUGCUUGAAACGACACGACAAAUUAAUCAUGCAUGAUUUUAUAAAAUAAACGAAAUAUUGUGUGACUGAUACGAAACUUUAUAUGGAAUUUUCCUAAAACUACUCGAUCCUUUAGGGUUUAAACUUCUCAAAAGAGAUUGAAUCUCAAUAUACAUUAGGAGUUAAUUAGCUUAUAAAAUUAGAGACAGUAUAUAGUAGCUCGUAUAAGAAUCACUUUUUGCAAAAGAAGUAAGUAGUUCUUUGAUAAUGAUGAUUAGUUUUUAAUUAGUCAUAAAUAUACUCCUAUCAUGAUUAAUUAGAAUCCAAAAUGGAAGCCACGGAAAAGAAAAAGGCCUUAGAUGAAUAACAAAUUAAAGAAACGCAUCAAGUAACUCUAAUAUUAGAUGAAGUUGAGAACUUCUCAACAUCUUAUUUAUUAUUAUUAUUAUUCAUAGACAUAGGGAAGAAAAGGGUUACAAUAAGAGCUGCCACUUUAUUCGUUACUACUAGAUAAUAUUAUUAAGUGCAAAUUAUAAUGCACUAUAUUUAGUGGCAAAUAGCUCCAUCUCCCCUCAUUUUCAUUCACUUCUCUCCAGCAGCACCAGCAGUAGCUGCUUCCUCAGAUCCUUCUUUUGGCUUUGGCUUGGCUUGUUCCUGAAAUAUUAUUAGCUCCCUUAGAAUCUGAUUUUCAUUUUUUUUUUUAAAAUUCCAAUUACGUCAUAAAUUGUGUCCAAAGAGUAGUAAUCCAAUUUUUAUUUUGUUGUUAUUAAAAGCUCAUAAAUUGUUUAUUUUUUAUUUUUUUUAUUGAAUGAGGAUAGGGGUGGGUUUUUGGAAGGGGUGUGGGGUAAAUUGGACACUCAACCUGUGCAUCCUCACGGUUUUUCACAACAAACUGGUUUUUCUCAAGAAACUGGGUUAAAGACUUCAAUGCUGCUUCCUGAAAAGAACUUGAAAGGAUAGUUGUUAGUAUUCUAUUUACUAAUAAGCCAAAAUAACUAAAGAUGAAGCUGAUUUCAUUGAUAUGGUCACAUAACUUUCAAAUAUUACACCAGUAAGCUAUGUUUUGUGACAUAGAAAUCAAUCAAUCUUGAUUUAAGCAUGACAGAAAGUUACUAAGUAUUAAUUUAUUUCUAAUUAAAAAGUCAUUAAACUUGACCUAAAUAUCACAUAAAAUGCUUCUUUUAUUUCUUCAAAAUAACUUUUUAUGAUUUUUAAGCAAAGCUGAGUAACUUUUACAAAAAAUAGUUUAGUGACUUUCAUUAUAUUUUGAUAAAAUUAAAUAAUUUUUUUCUUUAAAAACCAAUCUAGUGAUUGUGUGCAAUAAAACAAAAAUUAAGUGACCAUCUAUGAAAUCAAUCCCAAAAGAAUGUUAGAAAGAAAUUAUAAAGUGAAAAAGAAAAGACAUAAAAAAGAAACAAACCCUUGCAAGGACGAGUUCAUCAGAGAAAUUUCUUUCUGACUUACUGGAGGUACCUGGGAGAGGUGGUUUUUGAUUUUCCAUUUUCUAGAACUCAGAGGGAAAAAGAGGAAAAGAUUAGAGAGAACUAUUGUUUGUUUAGAGAAAAGCAAUGUUGGUUGUUUGGGGCAGUGAAGGAAGGGGCUGCAUAUAUAGUGAUCAUUGCUCAAUUACAACUUGACAGACACUUACUAACGUGUGUGUCUGCAUGUUUAUCUUUUAAAUUGCACUGUUUUAACAACUUAGUUUAUUUGUUUUUGUUUUUUCAUAUCUGUUGGUGUCUACAAUUUAUGGGGCUGGAGCUGUAAUUGAGGCCAUUUAUGUGCUGGUCUUCUAUUAGACCUUUUUUGUUUUUGCUGUUGUAGCUCUCGUUUCCAUGCUCGCUUCGCAUGGAAAUAGCAGAAAACUCUGCUGCGUUAUCGCUGCCACUAUCUUCUCUACCAUUAUGUAUGGAUCUCCUCUAUCAAUCAUACUAUAAACUCGAGAACAAUUUUAUGUAUACAGAGACUGGUCAUCAAGACGAAGAGCGUGGAGUUCAUGCCAUUGUUCUUGUUCCUAUGUGGCGCUUCCUGCUUCGCCUUUGGCCUUCUUGGCAAGGGCCCCUUUGUUGCUAUUCCGCAUGGAUUUGACUUUGGCUUAGGAACAGUUGCAACUUAUCUUAUAUGCAAUAUACUGUGACAAGAAGGGAUCUACCUAGAAAACGACCCCUGAUGAGUCCUUGGAGAUGAGAAAUAACAAAAGUACUUAGCAAGUCUCACCAUGAGGAGAAACAAUCUUAGCUUCCAUAACAAGUCAAAACCUGAGCAAGUUUAGACAAAUGCUUAAUUCUCGAAUGAUGUUCUGGAUUUGUUUUUUUUUUUUUUUAGGUGCUAAUACCCUUUUGAUUUUCUUUAGAGAUCUUUGACAUCUGUUUGUUCUAUUUAAAUUUGGACUAGUUCUCAGAUGUUUUUUUACACUUUUUCUCCUCAUUGCGGCUGAAAUAAACCACGAUCCUUCUUUUUGUUCUUUGGUUUCUUCUGGUGAAUGCCUUAUUAUUCAGAGAAAUCUUGUAAGCUGAACUUAGAUUUUAUUUCCUUUUCCCCCCCUCAAAAGGUUCA
RNA transcript from Lycium barbarum (goji berry), 4957 nucleotides. It is a transcript of the gene named bidirectional sugar transporter SWEET1-like, with no coding region annotated. The record is from RefSeq and is a predicted model, not a curated record. The transcript is spliced from 5 exons. NCBI's taxonomy places the organism in Eukaryota, Viridiplantae, Streptophyta, Magnoliopsida, Solanales, Solanaceae.